Long non-coding RNA from Ictalurus punctatus (channel catfish), 374 nucleotides. The record is from Ensembl. Lineage: Eukaryota; Metazoa; Chordata; Actinopteri; Siluriformes; Ictaluridae.
GUGGUUUCUCUUUCAAGAGAACUUCGAGAGAGAGAAUAAAGAGAGGACUGUUGAGAGAGCGACUGAUUAACGCUGCUGUAACAAAACUUCACCACAUCAACGAUCUGUUUGUGCGUAGUGCUCGCUGUACAAGUCCCUGAGUAUAACGUGCCACAGCUUCAUUUCUCCAUCCCAUCCAGCACUGAAGUACCGUUAGGCUUCUGCCCUCUUUAAAGCCGUAAGAUUCUCGCCGGUGUAAGACGACAGAUUGUGGAUCAAAUACACGAUAAUGUCUGUGAAUGUUCGAGAGUCGAGUCAAAACCAUCGAUCACCAGUUUCCUAGUGGGUAACGAUGGACGCCCCGAACUGAAAAGCGCUCUAUUGUGUUAUUUUUG